Molecule: ribosomal RNA, 253 nt
Filed under: uncultured bacterium
Lineage: Bacteria
Description: partial 16S ribosomal RNA
Rfam family: Bacterial small subunit ribosomal RNA
Source: RNAcentral
UACGUAGGUGACCAGCGUUGUCCGGAUUUACUGGGCGUAAAGAGCGCGCAGGCGGUCGAUCAAGUCGAGUGUGAAAGCCCCCGGCUCAACUGGGGAGGGUCAUUCGAUACUGAUCGACUUGAAGGCAGGAGAGGGAAGCGGAAUUCCCGGUGUAGUGGUGAAAUGCGUAGAUAUCGGGAGGAACACCAGUGGCGAAGGCGGCUUCCUGGCCUGUUCUUGACGCUGAGGCGCGAAAGCUAGGGGAGCAAACGGG